AGGCCGGGCCAAGAGCAUCGGUGUAGAGCUUUCAAGCGUGGCUGAUCUUGCCGCCCAGGAAGAUUGUAUAGUAGGUUGCCUGUAAAGCCGCUGUAAAGAUGUCUGACGAUGAACAGCAAGAACAGACCAUCGCCGAAGACUUGGUUGUCACCAAGUAUAAAAUGGGAGGUGACAUUGCCAACCAGGCCCUCAAGGUGGUGAUUGAGGCGGCGAAACCUGGGGUGUCGGUGCUCAGUUUGUGUGAGAAGGGCGACGCUCACAUUAUGGCCGAGACUGGCAAGAUCUUCAAGAGGGAGAAGGACAUGAAGAAAGGCAUUGCGUUCCCCACCUGCGUGUCAGUCAAUAACUGUGUAUGCCACUUCUCUCCCCUGAAGAGUGACCCUGACUACACGCUAAAAGACGGAGACCUGGUCAAAAUUGACCUCGGAGUCCAUGUCGAUGGAUUCAUCUCCAAUGUGGCUCACAGCUUUGUCAUCGGAGCCAGUAAGGACAACCCUGUUACUGGCAGGAAAGCCGAUGUGAUCAAAGCUGCCCACUUGUGCGCGGAGGCAGCCCUGCGGCUCGUCAAACCUGGCAACCAGAACUCUCAGGUGACCGAGGCCUGGAACAAGAUCGCUCAGUCAUUCAAAUGCACUCCUAUUGAGGGCAUGCUUUCUCAUCAGCUGAAGCAGCAUGUCAUUGAUGGAGAAAAGACCAUUAUUCAGAACCCAACAGACCAGCAAAGGAAGGACCAUGAGAAGGCAGAGUUUGAGGUGCAUGAGGUGUAUGCCGUGGAUGUCUUGAUCAGCUCAGGAGAAGGAAAGGCAAGAGAUGGUGGACAAAGGACCACCAUCUACAAAAGGGACCCUAGCAAGCAGUAUGGCCUGAAGAUGAAGACCUCCAGAAUGUUUUUCAGCGAAGUGGAGCGACGCUUUGAUGCAAUGCCCUUCACUCUUAGGGCGUUUGAGGAUGAGGGAAAAGCCCGUUUGGGAGUGGUGGAGUGUGCCAAACACGAGCUCCUUCAGCCUUUCAACGUACUCAACGAGAAGGACGGUGAGUUUGUGGCCCAGUUCAAGUUCACAGUGCUGCUCAUGGCCAAUGGGCCCUUGAGAAUCACCAGUGGACCCCUCGAGCCAGAACUCUACAAAUCAGAACAUGAGGUCCAGGAUGCUGAGCUGAAGUCUCUGAUACAGAGUUCGGCCAGUCGUAAAGCACAAAAGAAAAAGAAGAAGAAGGAGAAAUGAAAACGCCCUGCAUGCACUCCUCCAUGUGCAACAAGAGUAGUUGCCAAAACUUCUGUAGCCAAAUACCAGAUGUACAAUUUAAUUGAGGGGGAAAAGUGGGCGAAGAACCUGGAGGCUUCCAAGACGGCGGAGAAUGCCACUGGUCAGCCAGCCGAGAACGAGGUUGCAGAAUAGAUCAACAACCAACAAACAAA
RNA transcript from Alosa sapidissima (American shad), 1417 nucleotides. It is a transcript of the gene named proliferation-associated 2G4, a, with no coding region annotated. The transcript has 14 exons. Lineage: Eukaryota; Metazoa; Chordata; Actinopteri; Clupeiformes; Clupeidae. The record is from RefSeq and is a predicted model, not a curated record.